UACGUAGGUGCAAGCGUUGUCCGGAAUUAUUGGGCGUAGAGAGCUCGUAGGUGGUUUGUUACGUCUGCUGUGAAAACCUAGGGCUUAACCCUGGGCUUGCAGUGGAUACGGGCAGACUAGAGGUAGGUAGGGGAGAAUGGAAUUCCUGGUGUAGCGGUGAAAUGCGCAGAUAUCAGGAGGAACACCGGUGGCGAAGGCGCUCCUGGCCGUAAUGACUCUGAGGUGCGAAAGCGUGGGGGAGCAAACAGG
RNAcentral lists this ribosomal RNA (249 nucleotides) under uncultured bacterium. RNAcentral's name for it is "partial 16S ribosomal RNA". It matches the Rfam family "Bacterial small subunit ribosomal RNA", at positions 524 to 776 of the family's 1533-position model. The record is from RNAcentral.